RNAcentral lists this long non-coding RNA (405 nucleotides) under Nicotiana benthamiana. Its description in RNAcentral is "long non-coding RNA (NBEN_LNC017928)". Lineage: Eukaryota; Viridiplantae; Streptophyta; Magnoliopsida; Solanales; Solanaceae. The record is from RNAcentral.
GGAAGUGUAGAAGACAAAGGUUAAACCAAAAGAAAAUCGUUUAAAAAGCAGAGACCAACGAGAUUUAGGCAAAAAAUUAAGGUUUGCAAAAUAAAUUAGGGAAAUGAGAAAAUUGGCCGUGAAACUUGUAUAUAAUGCCAUAGAAGGCAUCAUCGGACAAAUGCUACUAGAGAACAGCCGGAAACAGACCCAAAUGAAGCUUCAGUGACCGUCUUUCAUGGCGAAAGCUGCUGGGCUUCAAGCUUUAAAGAGAAAACAAAGAUACAAGGAUUCCAUGGCUACUAGAGGUCGAGAGAAAUGAGGGAGAAGUAGGGUCGGAGAGGCGAUGGACUUCAUCAGAGAAGAAGGAACCAGAAGGUUCUAGAGAGAAGGGAGAGCACUUGUUAGAGAGAUAGAGAGACUGGC